UCGCCUGUUUAUCAAAAACAUGGUUUCUUGAUAAAUAUAGGAGAUUUAACCUGCCCACUGAAAGUUUUUGAAGGGCCGCAGUAUUUUGACUGUGCAAAGGUAGCAUAAUCAUUAGUCUUUUAAUUAAGGGCUGGAAUGAAUGGUUGGACGAGGUAAAUACUGUCUUAUUUUAAUGUGAAUUUGAAUUUAGAUUUUAAGUAAAAAGACUUAAGUGAAAUUAAGGGACGAGAAGACCCUAUAGAGUUUAAUAUUCGUAGUAUUUAAUUGAGUUAAUAAUUAAUUUUUGAUUAUUAUGAAGUGUAUUUAAUUGGGGUGAUUGGAAAAUAUGAAUAACUUUUCUUUAAUUUAAAUGAUAUUAUUAGUUUAAUGAUCCAUGUAUAAUGAUUAAAAGAUUAAAUUACCUUAGGGAUAACAGCAUAAUUCUUUUUGAGAGUUCAAAUCGAAAGAAGAGAUUGUGACCUCGAUGUUGGAUUAAGAUAAAUUGUGGGUGUAGAUGUUCAAUAAUUAAGUCUGUUCGACUUUUAAAUUCUUACAUGAUCUGAGUUCAAACCGGAGA
This 556-nucleotide ribosomal RNA is filed under the name Heterochaetula fissispinis. RNAcentral's name for it is "partial 16S ribosomal RNA". It matches the Rfam family "Bacterial large subunit ribosomal RNA", at positions 1796 to 2622 of the family's 2925-position model. The record is from RNAcentral. Lineage: Eukaryota; Metazoa; Arthropoda; Insecta; Mantodea; Mantidae.